This 13867-nucleotide long non-coding RNA is filed under the name Capsicum annuum. RNAcentral's name for it is "long non-coding RNA (CANN_LNC018211)". The record is from RNAcentral. Lineage: Eukaryota; Viridiplantae; Streptophyta; Magnoliopsida; Solanales; Solanaceae.
AAGGGGUUGCCUCUUUUGAUUAUCAUGAUUGCUGGAAUUCUUUCUCGAAAAAAAAGAGAAGCAUCUACGUGGCUUGAAGUUGCAUAUGACAUAGGUUCUUAUACUUUAGAAGAGGGAAGCAUGAAGAUGAUACAAUCAAGUUAUGACCUUUUAGAAGACUAUUUAAAGCCUUGUCUUCUCUACAUGGGAUUGUUUCCUAUGUCAUCAGUUAAAAGUUCCGCUCAUUCAUGCUAUCGUCGUCAUAAAAUCAGCUCACCCAUGUCUUUACUGUUUAAUGGUGCAUUUUCAAAAAUUAUUUUCGAUGUGGCCUUUUAUUAGAGGUCCGUGACAUUAAUUAAAAUAAAUCAAUGUUAAUUUCAAAUAUCUUAGAUCCAUUAAAAAUAAUCGGUUCUUUUAACAUAACCCGACCCACACCCAUUAAAGUAUUUUUUUCCUACAACAACUAUUUUUUUUAUCAGAAGAAAUAGUGAUUAAUGUAUAUCCUUUGGCUAUUUCUAGUUGAUUCUAAAUCAUUAUAAAUGUUACGCUUAACAGAAACCUCAAAAAUUCUAUCCUACAUUUUAAUUUUAGUGACUCCAAUAUAUUGUAACACCCCGCUUUUUGAACGAGAAUAAAAAUCGUCAUUUCCUUCACGUAAAGGUUCCAAAAGCCAUAAAUCCAAUGCAAGUUUAGUGUGUUAAUAAAUUAUGUAGUGUGGAAACCUAUUUGAGUAUGAAUUGAGAUCAUAGAGGUCCCAAAGCUCAAGGACAAGUUGAAAGUUUUCCUAUCGUUCGAAUUUUAGUGAGCGUUAAAACUUAGGUCAACUUCAAUCGACCAUUACACUUUGUAUAUAUUGAAUUAGAGUACAUGCUAUAUAUCAAAUGAAAGGUAUUCAAAUUAUCUUUCCAACGAUACUAAUUUUGCAAAAAUCCGACACCCGAGGAAAAAGUUAUGGCUUUGCAAAGUGGAGUGUGUCGUGCAGCAUAAGGUGUGCGACGCACACCCUAACUUAUGCCAUAAGGUGUGCGACGCACAACCAUAUGUGUGCGAUAAAGAGUGCGCUCCACAUCCUAUAUUAUGCGAUAAGGUAUGUGCUGCAUACAUUAUUACUCAAGUGACUUAAACACUCCUUUUUUGGGGCAAAAUGGUUCUUUUUCUACCCUUAUUUAGCCAUAAACACGAAAUUCAGUUCCCAAAUACCCCAAAAUACACCUUCAUUCAUCAAAAUUGCUCAAGAACUCUCCUUAGGGUUUCAAAAUAAAAAUCCAAGUAACUCAAGAUUCAACCGUGGGUUUUUGAAACUAAUUGCAUAUUUGGAAUCCCCAGAACGUAGGCUUCAACAAGCACCUAUCAUCUUUGCAUAUAGAGGCAUGUGGAGUUAUCUCAAAAAUCUCAUGGGCUUAAAAGUUUAUGCUUUCAAAAUGGGGGUUUUGAAAUUACGAAUAUAAUUAUGUUUUAAACAUUUUAUGAUAUUGAUUUGGUCUUUAGGCCCAUUCCUGAAGUGAUUUGAUAUAUGAUAUACGUAUAUGCAUGUAUUCCGAAAAGAUGUUAACUUGAGAGGAGCAUGAAUUAUAUGAAAUCCUGCUCUUUAUAUGAUUUCGUUUUAAAUUCUAAUAUGAUGUGAAAUGUUUGAAAUCAUCUUGACAAGUGUGACAUGAAAUAUUUUGAAAAUGGUCAUGGUUUUGACUUGCAAUGAGAGGGUUGUUAUGUUGAAAUAUGAUGAAUAUAAUGGUUGCAUGAAAGAAUGAUGUGAUAUUGAUGGCUUACAAGUCAGGUAUGACGAUACCCUACAGAAUAAGAUAUGUGAUUGAAUUAAAUGGAGUUUGAUGCAUUGAUUUUACAUGAGAUAGGUGGAUGCCCGAAGAAGACAUUUGAGUGUAAGGGCUCAUCGCUGGAAACCGUGUUUGCUGGUACCGGGCUAAGUGAUCUUGUGUACUUGACUUUAUGUCAUUCCCAAAUUGGGACUAUGGUUAGGAACCCAGGCUAAGUGAUCUUGGGCACUACUAUACUUUAUUGGGCCGAGACACCCUGUUGUGUGAUCUUGUGUGUCUUGCCCUCACUUAUACUCUAAUCUCGGCGGCAACCGAGAUUUGACAGUUGGUAUAAAUGUUAUAUGUAGGGUAUUCCACCUAGCUUAGCUGCAUUACAUUGUUGUUGAAAACUAUUACAUGAUGCCCAUGUGUUUUCAAAUGAUUUGAUAUGAAACUGUUUUAUAGUGGCUCUCACCUAUAUUUGGUAAAAAUAUUAUAUUUUGUUUUGAUUUCUCUGUAUACCAGUACUUUUGUAUUGACCCCUUCCCUCCCAGGUUCGAAGGCACAGUUUAGGGGUUCAGAAAAUCAGUAGAUUCUCCAGACAGAUUUGCAGAGUCGAGUGGUAAGCCUUCUAUCUUCCGGAAGGCCUAAUGUCUGACGGUUUAAUUAUUAUUUAGUAGUUUUGGGUCUACUGGGGGCCUUGUCCCAGUUUUUAGAUAGUUAUUUGUUUCAUUCAUGUAAUAGAGAUUUCGCAGACGUUUUUGAGAUAUUGAUUGAGAUUAUGGGACAUUAUUCCCCAUUAUUAUUUUCAUAUGAUUCUUGACCAUGUUUCCGUUAUAUUGUGUAUCUUCCGCAUUUCUUUUGUCAUAUAAGUCAUGUGCAUGAUUGCCAGACAGAUAGGGGUGUUUCGGGCCUUUAUGGUUCGAAAUACUCGUCACGGCCAGGGCCCCGAUUCGGAUCGUGACAUAUAUACUCCGAAGUUGCAAGAAAAUAAGCCAAUGAACGAUUAGGGCAAACAAGAAAAAGAAAGAGGCGUACCAAUAGAGCUUCUCCAAUAUUCUCCCAUCACAAAUUAAGGGAGCAUACAUCGUUGAAAAAUCAUUUCUAAAUAACGGCUUAAAAGAAGUUUGUUAUCCCAACUACCCCGCCAUGUAUAUGGGAUAACUUCUCCCAUCACGAAUUAUUGGAGCAUACAUUGUUGAAAAAUUAUUUUCAAAUAACGACUUAAAAGAAGUCUGUUAUUCCAAUUAUCCUGCUAAGUACUUGUGAUAACUUCUCCCAUGAUAUAUAUGCCGGAAUAAAUAAUCUCGAUACUAACUAAUUUCAAAUAUUUUAAAAUUAAUAUUAAUUUCUUUUAAUUAAUGGCGUGGACUUAUAAUAAAAGACUAUGUGGCAAAAUUAUUUUUUAGAAAUCCAUCAUUAAAAAGUAAUGGCAUGCAUGGGUUGAUUUUAUAAUGGUGAUGGCAUAAAUAAGCCGAACUUUUAACUGAUGGCAUAAAUGAGCCAUUUCUGAUAGUUCAAUGACAUAUUUGAGCCUUUUUGCUUAUUUUAAUUAAUGACGUGGACCUCUAAUAAAAGGCCACGUGGUAAAGCUAUUUUUUAAAACCACCGUUAAAAAGUAAUGGCAUGGAUGAGCUGGUUUUGUAACGGUGAUGGCAUGAAUGAGUUUAACUUUUAACUAAUGGCAUAAAUGAGUCAUUUCUGAUAGUUCAGUGGCAUAUUUGAGUCUUUUCUCCCUUUAUAUAUCUAAAGUCUACAUGUAUCUUUUUAAUUAGGUGGCAGCAUUUGGUUGGACUACUAGUCCACAUAGGAGCGAUUUUCACGCAUAUGUAUUGCAAGAUUGAAGUAUUUUUUUUGUUUAGCUUUUGUAUAGUUAAAGGGCCUACUUGUACACUGAUAAAGUUAAUAUCUAAAAUCUAUGUGUAUCUUUUUAAUUAAGUGGAAGCAUUUGGUUGGAGUACUAGUCCACGUAGGAGCGAUUGAGUUUCACGCAUAUGUAUUGCAAGAUUGAAGUAUUUUUUUUAUUUAGCUUUUGUAUAGUUAAAGGGCCAACUUGUACAUUGGCAAAGUUAAAGGUCAUAGAUAUAAUUUAAUGUCAAGUUAAAGGUUUUGUUUAUGUAUUAUGCCUUUUGAAAAACCGACUUAACAAAUACUGGACUUGUUUUGCAACGACGAUGACAUAAAUGAGCCAAACUUUUAAUGGAUGACAUAAAUGAGUCAUUUCUGAUAGUCCGAUGACAUAUUUGAGCCUUUUUCCGUAAUUAAUUAAUGAUGUGUACCUCUAGUAAGACGACACGUGGCAAAGCUAUUUUUGAAAAGCCAUCAUUAACAAGUAAUGUCGUGGAUGAACCUGUUUUGUAACGGCGAUGGCAUAAACUAGCCAAACUUUUAACGGAUGACAUAAAUGAGUCAUUUCUGAUGGUUCGAUAUUUGAGCCUUUUUCCUUUAUUCAUUCUUAAGUAACAUUUUCUAUGAAUAAAAGUUCAAGUCUCUCACAAUUGAAAUUUAGAUUACAUUUUAUCUUUUGUGAAUAGUGAUUUUCUUUUCCUGGAGAAAAGAAAAAUAGAAGAUUACAAUUGAGAACAGUUUUAUACAUAACUUUGUGGAUGGACUGAUUUGCAUAUCAUGAAGCUGCUAUUGUCUGGAAGAUGUUAAUGUAUAUUUAGUUUUGUGCUUUUCCACGAUACGUUCUGAUGUAUUGUCAGAGACUAAGCCAGAAUCAGAAGCUUAUGUAUUGUUUGUGAACUCUUCAAACCCCUUUUGUCAUGUUCAUUGUUGUUUUCUCAAUACAAACUUUGGCAUUAAACUCUUUGCAUUUUCUACUGGAAUGCCUCUAUUUGAUUUUACUACAUUAAUUUCUUAUUUGAUUACAAGCUAGCUUUUUCCUUCACCCACCACAAAUAAUUUUCACUUAAGGAUUUUAAGUUGCUCAUACCAACGAAUACUAUCCAACUUUUAUGGUAUUUUCUUCAUCCACUCAAUCUUAAGUUAACACUUACAAGGUCAUAGUUGCAUCUCUACUUUAGUUUACAAAUUAAAUUAUCUUACUAUAAAUGUUUACCUGCAUUCGGUGUUUACAGUCAAUUCAUCAUUUUAACUGUAGUUGAUUUAAAAUUUAAAGUGAAAAUGCAUACCUCUUAAUCAUUGAUAAAGUGAUAACUUAGCAGAAAAUUUACCGGAGUGGACUACCUACAUCAAAUCAAUUCAGCUUAUCAUGAUUAAUUAAUUUAAUAACUAACCAUGGUUAUUGAGUAUACAAAAGUGAAUAUGCAAACACAACCAUGAUUGUGUUAGAUCUAAUUGAAAAUUAAUAUUUUAACAUGGUCCAAUAAAGGUGUGCUACAUGAAGUCAACCUUGUCAAUUAUUAAUUGAUCUUUUCUGCGACUAAUAUUCAUUCCUAAGUCAACUACUACUCCAAAUUUUCAUUUUCAUUUUCAUUCAUAAAGGUGUGCCACAGUAUUAAUUGAUCUUUUCUGCGACCAUUAUUUCAUUAUUCUGCUCAACGAUUACAAAGUUAAAUUUUAUUUUGCUCACCAUAGCCGAUUACAAGCUAGUUUUUUUCUUCACUCACCAAAAAUAAUUUCAAUUAAGAUUUUUAAGUUGCUCAUACCAACGAAUACAAUCAACUUUGACGGUAUUUUCUUCUGCCACUCAAUAUUAACACUUUCACAAGGUCAUAUUUAUAUCCUAAUAUAAUUUACAGAUUAAAUCAUCUUACGAUAAAUAUUUUUCUGCAUCAGGUAUUUGCACUCAAUUCCUCAUUCUAACAAUCUACAUUAAAUCAAUUCAACUUACCAUGAAUGAUUAAUUUAAUAACUAAUCAUGAUUAUUUAGUGAAUAUGCAAACACAACCAUGGUUGGGUUAGAUGUAAUUAAAAAUUACUACGUAGUAUUUUAACAUGGUCCAAUAAAAAAGUGCCACGUGUAUUUUGUAAAGUCAACCUUGUCAAUUACUAAUUGAUCUUUCUGCUACCAUUAUACACCCUUCCUUCCAUUUUAUGUAUUUCAGAUUGGGAUGACAUAAUUAUUAAAAAAAGUAAUAAAUAUUAUGGCUAAUUUAUCAUAAUAUCUUUAAUUUUAUAUUUUAAUUUAAAGAAAAAGUAAUUAAUGCAAAGGAUAAAACAUUAAAAUAAAAAAUUUAUCUUAUCUUGAUAAGUAAAAAAAUAAGUAAAAUGGACCAAAUUAAAAAAUUUGGGACGGGUAAAAUGGGACGGAGGGAGUACAUGAGUCCACAAAACUUCUUUUCCAAAUUUUCAUUUUCUGUGAGAGGAAAACCAUAGAGUUAGAAGAAUUUUGCAGCAAUUAUUAAUCUCUCUAUUUCCACUCUAAGGUGUGAUUUCUUUUUAGCUUUCUAUUUUAUUUCCUUUUGAUUAUUUGCCACAAUUUAAAUGUAUUGUUUUACUACACUGUGAUCAUGAUUUUCUUUACUCGUCUCAAAUUUUCUAAUUUAAUAUCUCAUUUUAUUUGUCUUUUUUUAUUUAUUAACACAAGAUAAUUUUUUUCUCAUGUUUACCCUUUGCAUUAAUUAUUUUUUCUUCAAAUUAAAAUAUGGUAAACUAACCAUGUUAUUAAUUAUUUUUCUUAAUUAAUGUGCCAUCUCAAUUUGAAAUGGAUAAUUUGGGAAGGAGAGCGUAAAAGAAUUAGUACAGAUCUAGAAUGUUUUGUGAAUUUCAGCUAAUGAGUCAUAAAUGCUAAAUUAAGCAACAAAAGGAAUUUUAAGUUUUAACUAGAUCUAGCAAAUUUACUUUUGGACUUUUAUUUCUCCAGGAAAUAACAAAAAAGGGAAGAUAGUAAAAGCUACUCUUUUUGUUUUAGUUUGUGUGACACUUUUCAUUUUUCAUAAGUCAAUUUAAUUAAUAUUUAAAACUAAAUUAAAUUGCAUCAAUGCAGCAUUUUAAAAUAAAUUUAGACAUCAAAAACUGUACAAGAAAUACUAUAAGUUGUAUAAUUUUCAUGUGAAUAUGAUUGAAAAAUGUAUCUUAAAAUGUUGGUCAAAAGUGUCGCAUAGAGUGAGUGUUCUUUACAUUCUCUUUGUUUCCACUCUAAGGUUAGAUUUCUCUUUUAGCUUUCUAAUUGAACUAACUUUAUAUUAAAAAAAUUGAUAAAAGAUUCAAAUACUAACAAAUUAGUUUGGAGAUUUUAAUACUAGAUGAGAGGCUUCUUAAGAUUAUGUUUUGCAAAAUUAUAUUAUUGAUUGUUUUACUUACUUACAAUUGAAAGUCUAAGAAAACUAAAACAUCACUUUUUUUUUUUUUUUUUGGGUGUUCUCUAAGUUGUAAAUUGAUUGUUAAUCAUUAUGUUCUUGUUUCCUUCCUUUAUUGGAGAAUAGUAGAGUUACCUGUUCUAAUAUAUUCCAUUUUACAUGCCUCUAUACUAAAAUAGUUAGUUUCAAAUUACUUAACCAUUUUCAUAAAUCAAGAAAAUCUUAUUAUUUCUUUCUCAUAUUACUCUUGGCAUUAAAUAAUAAUAUAAAGUAGUUCUAGAGUUCUAAAUUAUCAUUAAGAAUGUUAGUUUAGUAAAGUACACUUGUAAUUUGAGUUUUUCUUAGGGAGUGUGUCAUGUCAACGUGAGCCAAGUAGAAUGAAAUGGAGGGAGUAUGUCAAUCAAAAUCAGCAGAAAGAAGUUUGGGAUUAAGAAUUACAUAGAUCUCCAGAAUGAUAAAAGGGAAAGGAAGACUGAGUUAGAUCAUGGGAGAUGACAGGUAUUACGUGGAAUUAGUCGAAGUGCACGCAAGCUGGCCUGGACACCACGGCUAUCAAAGAAAAAAAGGGAAUAGGAAAAAAAAUGUUAGUGGAAAAACGAAUCAUAAAUUUGAGUCGGAGAUGUCUAAUAGGGAAUGGUAUGGAGUUUAAUUGAAAUAGGGUAAACUAAGCAAUGAAAUCCUGAAAUAAUGACAUAAUGGGAAAGAGAAACACCUUACCGGUCCCACCACGUUACGUAGGGGUAAGGCUGCAUACGCACCACCCAUCCAAGAAGGCAUUUGUGGGAUUACACUGUGUAUUAUGUUCUUCUUGUUGUUGAUCCCAUCCCAUCAACUCGGUCAUUGUAUAAAAUGUGUCUUUUCUUUGUUAGAUAUCAAUGGAACUGUAGAAUUCUUCAACAUUGACUUGAGUUGGAAUUACGCCAUAUAUAUCCAUUUCCUUGUUACUGAUAUUUGUAUUACAGAUACACACAUUAGGAUAUUUUUCUUAAUCGGCCUUAAUUUUGUUUGAUUUGGGUUGCGAUUGGCUUUUUCCUUAUGGUGCUUGUGGUAUUGUGAUUACAUGUGAUUUUCAAUCUGCUUAUAUUCAGGUGGCCAUAAAAUUUGUGCUUCUAAGAUGGCAACGGCCCAGCUGAAGAUUAUUGAGUUGGACGAAGGAUGGGAAAUUAUGCAGAAGGGAAUCACAAAAAUGAAGAAAAUUUUAGAAGGACAACAACAUUCUUUUAGCUUCGAAGAUUCCAUCAUGCUCUACACGUAUCCUUAGGGUUCUUAACUAUUUGUAAAAUAUUUUUUCUUUAAUAUAUAUACAUUAUUGUUUGCCAUUUUCAAUCCUUAAAAUAUGGUAAACUGCUUACGACCACUUUGCUCUCAUGGUGUCUUAAGCAAGUGAACAACUAACAUCUUGGUUAUAAGUGAGCUACUCUUGACAUGGGAGGAAGUUUUUCCUUAGUUGAAAUCUAGAACUGUAUAUAAUAUGUGUUCACAAAAGCCGCCAAAUGAUUACGCGCAGCAGUUGUAUGACAAGUACAAGGAAGUAUUUGAAGAAUAUAUCAAUUCGACUGUAAGGAGGAUUGACUUUCUUCUCAUGAUAAUUAGGUGUUGAGAUGUCAUUAGCUGAUAGUUUGCUUUGUGAUGGUCACAUAUAUUUACUUCCAUGCAAUUACUUGUCUUGUUUGCCGAGUUAUACUUCUAGUUAGGCAAUUAAUUAGUAGAACUUGAGUUUGGUCAGUAAUUCUUUUGGUGUUAUUAUAUUGGUAUAACCGACGCGUGCUUGAUUUGAGGCUUAAUGGUGGAUGUAUGUUCAAUUGUGUGGCUGUUUUGAGAAUAUUAAGUUGAUUAUACCCUGAAAUCCUAGUUAACAUUACUUCAUCUGAUUUGAAAACAGUACAUAUGUAUAAAUUGGAGUUCCACUACGUUGUGAAUUUUAUUCUGCUUGCUUUGAUAUUGCUGUUUUAAUUUGCAGUCUGUAUUUUUCUUUAUUAGGUUUUGCCUGCUUUAAGAGAGAAGCACGAUGAACUUAUGUUGAUGGAGUUUGUGAAAAGAUGGGCAAACCAUAAACUUAUGGUUAGGUGGCUAUCACGGUUCUUCCAAUAUCUUGACCGAUAUUUUAUUUCCCGGAGAUCGCUACCUACACUUAAUGAAGUUGGUCUGACAUGCUUUCGUGAUCUGGUUUGUUUCUUGCAUCUCCUGUAUAUAAUUAUUGGCAACAUAAUUGUCUUUUUCCUUUUUUUUUUCUUUCGUCAUAUCAUUGUUGUGUGGGAAACUUAUUUCUGUUUUUUGUUGACAAUAGGUUUAUCAGGAGUUGAAUGGUAAAGCUAGAGAUGCAGUUAUUGUGUUGGCAAGUGUCAUAUCCUCUUAAUUUUGUUUUUCAUUUCUUCCUACUUCCAGGUGAUCUGUUCCGGUUCCCGGAUAUGGAUCCAGUUAUGGGAUGCUGAAAUAUGAAAUCUGAUGUUUUCUUUCUACGAUCUAUGGUACUGGUUUGUUAAGAGAGAACCUACACCAAGUUGUUAUGGUUCCUGGAUAUGGAUCUAGUUGUGGGACGCUAAAGUAUGAAAUCUAAUGUUUUCUUUCUACGGCCUAUGGUGCUAGUUCAUUAAGAGAGAACCUGCAAUCUCUUGAGUUUGAAGUACUCAAAAACUUAAAAACUUUCUGCUUAUCUUUCAUUGAAUAAACCUGGAGUUUAAAUACAAUACUAAUAAGAUAACUACCUCUAGAGACUAGGACAUUGACUUCCUAACAUUACUGAAUGAGAAACUGCAAACUACUACAAAGAAAUAAUUAGUAGACACUAUAAAUAACUAAUACAAAGAGAUAAUUAUUAGUCUGCAGUGAAUAAUUACGAGUCUACUGCAACCAACUACUACUGUAAACCGUUGAAGACCAAGGAAUGAUAACAUGAUCCUAACUCGUGUGAUACUACUUGCUAGUUAUGAGGGUCUGAUUAAGAGUCCUUUCAUAUUAGAUUGAAGGUCUGAUUAAGAGUCCUUUUAUAUUAGAUUGAUCAAGAACGCGAGGGUGAGCAGAUUGACAGAGCUUUAUUGAAGAAUGUGCUUGAUAUAUUUGUUGAAAUUGGAAUGGGCGAAAUGGGUUAUUAUGAGAAUGAAUUUGAAGAUGCAAUGCUUAAAGAUACUGCAGCUUAUUAUUCUCGGAAAGCUUCAAGUUGGAUUGUGGAAAAUUCUUGUCCAGAUUAUAUGUUAAAGGUACAAUUCAAUUUUACAAUUGCCAUGAGUUCGUAAAUUGUUUGGUUACUGCUCUAAAUUGCCAGGGUAAAUUGUGAUACCUGUGCUAUGCUAACCCAGGCAGAGGAGUGCUUGAACAAAGAGAAGGAUAGAGUGUCUCAUUAUCUCCAUGUUAGUAGUGAGACAAAACUUCUGGAGGUGAGCAUCGGAAUUUGCAUAGCAACUUGAAAUCUUAACUUCUGAAGAACGUUUUUUAUUUAAAAAAUAAAAUAAAAUGGAGCAUAGAUUAGUACUGUGUGAUUUUGUGUGAUGUGGGAGGGACCCGUGGAAUUAGUCUAGGUGCACGCAAGCUGGCUCAGACACCACGGUUAUAAAACAACAAACAAUGGUGAUUUGAUUGUUACAUGUCUAUGUAAAGGAUGCCUUGUUAAAUUCUAUUUUUUUUUUCUUAAACCUUUGAAGUGAAGCUUAAAGGGAUUACCGUCCAAGGUUUUAUGCAUUUUCGGUUGUUGGAUCCUUCAUUGUAUAGAGUUCGCAUUUCGAUUGUUUGCUCUCUUCUAAUAAAUUAUUCAACUUGCCAAAUUUAUGCUGUAGAGAGUGCAAAACGAAUUGUUGGUUGUAUACACCAAUCAGUUACUUGAAAAGGAGCAUUCUGGAUGCCGAGCAUUGCUUACUGAUGAUGAGGUAAUGAAUUAUUGUGUUCCUUUUCACGAUUAAUUUUUGGGAAGUUUCAACUUGUUUUACAUGUAAUUCGAUGUUAUUCUCUUCUGCCCUUGCUGCCGCACUCUCUUUUGUACACUCAGGUAGAGGAUUUAUCUCGAAUGUUUAGGCUAUCCCACAUAAUCCCCAAGGGAUUGGAACCUGUUUCAAAUACUUUUAAACAGGUAUUUCUAUUUGCUGUCAUUCUAUACCAAUUACUGAGCAACAAAAGAAUUAUUUAUUUAGUUUUUUAAGUUUGGCUAAACAUCUUCUGACGAUAAAUCAUUUGCAGCAUGUCAUUCCUGAAGACAUGGUCUUGGUGCUGUGAAAAAUAUCUAAAGUGGAUUUUUUGGAAGAAUAAGUAUCAUAGUUUUCUAGUUAAAUUUCUAGAAUAGUCUAGUUAGUGAAACAAAAAGGUUCUAGAUAAGUUUCUAGAAUAAUCUAGUGUAGUCACUUGGAUAAGGAACUAUCUAGAGUAGAAAAUAAAGAUCUCUACAUUUUUCUUGUAGAAAGUAUCUAGAAGAUUUUCUAGAAUUAUCUAUACACAAGUAUAAAUAGGGAUGUCUUGAACAUUUGUAACCAUCCAAAAAAAACAAAAUCUUAUACAAAGCAUAUCCAAGUAGUAUUCUUCCAAAUCCAAGUUCUUCUUUCAAUAUCUUCCUUCACCUUUCUAGCUUCUUCUUCUUAGUUGAAUCUUCUGAUCUUGGGCUAGCAGAAAGUUUUGUGCAACAGGACGAAGAUGCGACAAAUAGUCCGGUCUUGGUGCAACAGGCUGAAGAGAUGACAAAUAGUCCGGUCUUGGUGCAACAGGCUGAAGAUACGACAAAUAGCAUGGUCUUGGUGCAACAGGCUGAAGAGACGACAAAUAGCAAGGUGAAUUAUCUAUGUUCUGGUUUCACUUAAAAACGAUGAUUAUCUGUUAAUUGCAUAGGAAUAUGAAAUCCUUUUAAAUUGUGAAUAGGAAAAAACAGUGGGGAGAGGGAAGGCAAAUUAUCUAUGCAUUAUUAAUUGGAAAUAUUACGUGGAAUCGAAAACAUCAUGUUAUAAUUGUUGGGCAUAGUAAAUAAUAAUCAUUUGCAGCUAAGGUUUAGAUUAAAUAGCCAAAUAUAUAUUUCUUUUUCAUUUGUAUAUUUUGGAGUUCAUAUACAAAUCUCGGAUUUUGGGGUGACUCUGAUAUAGGGCUCAUAUACAAUUCUCUCAAGUUUUGUAUUUGUAUACAAAGCGAAUUUCGGGUUCAUAUACAAAUCUCUAAAGGGAAUUUGUAUUUGUAUAUACAAUCUCUAAUUUGUGUAUUAAGCUACUAAAUUGUAGCUACGUCCUGUAAUUAAGCAAACUUUAGCUACGCCGCCGAUUUAUUGCCUAAAUGUUAGCUAUAUAUUUCUGAAAUUUUGCCUUAUUAAUUUCUGUUUAACUUAUAUCUGUGUAAUUAAUUUCUAAGAUAUAAUUCUUGUAUAACUUGUUUUCGACCAAACAAUUCCUAAUAGUAAUUUUUUUAGCUUUUUCUGUUCAUGAGUUCAUCAAAGCGUUAGUGUUGAAGGAAAACCAAAGGACAAAUAUAAGACUGUUACAAAAAAAAUUUAUAAACAAUUAUUAAAGAAAAUGAUACUCAACUAGUGUGACUUGAUACAAUCCUUUUAAAAAAAGUUUCUAUUUUUAUAUCUCAAAUAGAAGUGUCUAAUCCUUACGUAUUUCCAUUGCAGGUGAUCUUGCAAAUUUUCUUUUAGAAUUGUUUUCGCCUCAGAAAUAAUUGAACUAAGUUUAUUUUACAUUUAAAAAACAACUGAUAAAAGAUUCAAAUACUAGAAAAUUUGUUUGGAGGUUUUCAUACUGGAUUACAGGCUUCUUAAAAUUUAUGUUUUGCAAAAUUUUUGAUUGUUUUACUUAUUUAUAUGUGCAUAUACUAAGACACAAAACUUUCCACUCUGAUAUGGAAACUAUUGGCACUGAUUAAGUCUAAGAAAACUAAAAAAAUCAUUUUGUUUUUGGUGUUCUCUAAGUUGUAAAUUGAUUCUUAAUCGUUGUGGUUUUGUUUCCUUCCUUUAAUGGAGAUAACAGAGUUAUCUGUUCUGAUAUAUGUAGAUUUUACUUCCAACAAUCGUAAAAGGGGCCAAGCUAGCUGAUAUGGAGGAGGUUGAGAGAAUUCCUUCCUCUGCAGAGCCUCCCACGGAACUUAGUUAUCCAUCAGUUGGCGAAAAACUAGUGGGGUCUGACGAUGAUGCAAACAAUAUAAUUGAAAAGUUGACGGCAGGGCCAUGGGACUUGGACGUUAUUUCAAUUGUCGGAAUGGCUGGAAUAGGGAAAACAGCUUUGGCUGGAAUGGUAUGCCGUGAUGUUUCUGUUAAUUGUCAUUUUGAUGUUCAAGCGUGGUGCUCCCUUGGACAAAUAUAUAAUGUGAGAAAGUUAUUUAUUGAGAUUCUAAGACAAAUAACGGGCAAUAGGUAUGUUAAUGUGGAUGAUCCUGAUGACAUGGUGCGGAAGACUCUUCUCAGAAAAAGGUAUCUCAUCGUAUUGGAUGACAUAUGGGAAAGCGAGUCAUGGGAUGAUUUAACACGAUGUUUCCCUAGGGAGGAAACGAGAAGUAGAAUAAUGGUAACUACUAGAAAUGCAGAGUUAGCUCGGUAUAUAAGGUUGUAUAGUGAACCUUAUUUGCUUCCAUUUCUAAGAGAUGAAGAGAGUUGGGAAUUACUGCAGAAGAAAGUAUUUCGAGGAGAGAGCUGUCCUUUGGAGCUACGCAGUGUAGGACCACUAGUUGCCAAACAAUGCAAGGGGUUGCCUUUUUUGAUAAUCAUGAUUGCUGGAAUUCUUUCUCGAAAAAAAAGAGAAGCAUCUUUGUGGCUUGAGGUUGCAUAUGAUAUAGGUUCUUAUACUUUAGAAGAGGGAAGCAUGAAGAUGAUACAAUCAAGUUAUGACCUUUUACCGGACUAUUUAAAGCCUUAUCUUCUCUACAUGGGAUUGUUUCCUAAAGGGAAUUUGAAAUUCCAGUGUCUGAUCUGCUGAAGUGGUGGAUAGCUGAGGAGUUUGUGCCGUACAACUUCUACACAUGGUACGAUCUAGAAGA